CCUACGGGAGGCAGCAGUGAGGAAUAUUGGUCAAUGGGCUUACGCCUGAACCAGCCAAGUCGCGUGAGGGAAGACGGCCCUAUGGGUUGUAAACCUCUUUUGUCAGGGAGCAAUUGGCGCUACGUGUAGCGUUAUCGAGAGUACCUGAAGAAAAAGCAGCGGCUAACUCCGAGCCAGCAGCCGAGGUAAUACGGAGGAUGGGAGCGUUAUCCGGAUUGAUUGGGUUAAAAGGGUGCGUAGGCGGAAUGCCAAGUCAGCGGUAAAAUCGCGGGGCUCAACCUCGCUCCGCCGUUGAAACUGGCGUUCUUGAGUGGGCGAGAGGUAUGCGGAAUGCGUGGUGUAGCGGUGACAUGCAUAGAUAUCCCGCAGAACUCCGAUUGCGAAGGCAGCAUACCGGCGCCCAACUGACGCUGAGGCACGAAAGCGUGGGUAUCGAACAGGAUUAGAUACCCUUGUAGUC
RNAcentral lists this ribosomal RNA (460 nucleotides) under uncultured bacterium. RNAcentral describes it as "partial 16S ribosomal RNA". It matches the Rfam family "Bacterial small subunit ribosomal RNA", at positions 338 to 795 of the family's 1533-position model. The record is from RNAcentral.